UGGGGAAUUUUGGACAAUGGGCGAAAGCCUGAUCCAGCAAUGCGGCGUGUGUGAAGAAGGCCUUCGGGUUGUAAAGCACUUUUGUCCGGAAAGAAAUCCUUGGCUCUAAUACAGUCGGGGGAUGACGGUACCGGAAGAAUAAGCACCGGCUAACUACGUGCCAGCAGCCGCGGUAAUACGUAGGGUGCAAGCGUUAAUCGGAAUUACUGGGCGUAAAGCGUGCGCAGGCGGUUUGCUAAGACCGAUGUGAAAUCCCCGGGCUCAACCUGGGAACUGCAUUGGUGACUGGCAGGCUAGAGUAUGGCAGAGGGGGGUAGAAUUCCACGUGUAGCAGUGAAAUGCGUAGAGAUGUGGAGGAAUACCGAUGGCGAAGGCAGCCCCCUGGGCCAAUACUGACGCUCAUGCACGAAAGCGUGGGGAGCAAACAGGAUUAGAUACCCUGGUAGUCCACGCCCUAAACGAUGUCAACUAGUUGUUGGGGAUUCAUUUCCCUAGUAACGUAGCUAACGCGUGAAGUUGACCGCCUGGGGAGUACGGUCGCAAGAUUAAAACUUAAAUGAAUUGACGGGGUCAUAGCUGUUUCCU
Molecule: ribosomal RNA, 585 nt
Filed under: uncultured bacterium
Lineage: Bacteria
Description: partial 16S ribosomal RNA
Rfam family: Bacterial small subunit ribosomal RNA
Source: RNAcentral